UGGGUGUGUGAAUCUGCUAGAAUGUUGAGUUGGAGUUGGUGGUUCAAUUAGCAGUUACUGAGGGCUAUUUUUGAAGCUAUGAUAGGAGCCACUGCAGUGUCUUUGUGAAUAGUGAGUAGAGACCAAUGGAGGGCAGCAAUACGCCAUAGAUACGUCUAGCCUGCCGGAAACAACAACAAGAAGAACUGCGUAUUCAAAUCAUGCUAUGCCAACCUGGAUUUAUGCUGAGUGUUUUGUGUGUGUCUGUGCGUGUGUUCAAGUGGCUCUAUAGUUAGUGAAAUUUAUAAUUGUAAAGUUCUGUUUGAUUCCCAAUUGAGCCAAAUGUGUCCUAGGGCAAAGCACUCUACCCUAAUUUACUCCAGGAAAAUGUACCUGUACUUAUUUUAAGUCGCUCUGGAUAAGACCAUCUGCUAAAUGAC
Esox lucius (northern pike) is the source of this 419-nucleotide long non-coding RNA. Lineage: Eukaryota; Metazoa; Chordata; Actinopteri; Esociformes; Esocidae. The record is from Ensembl.